GAUGAACGCUGGCGGCGUGCCUAAUACAUGCAAGUCGAGCGAACAGACGAGGAGCUUGCUCUUCUGACGUUUGCGGCGGACGGGUGAGUAACACGUGGAUAACCUCCCUAUAAGACUGGGAUAACUUCGGGAAACCGGAGCUAAUACCGGAUAAUAUAUUUAACCGCAUGGUUCAAUAGUGAAAGACGGUUUUCCUGUCACUUAUAGAUGGAUCCGCGCCGCAUUAGCUAGUUGGUAAGGUAACGGCUUACCAAGGCAACGAUGCGUAGCCGACCUGAGAGGGUGAUCGGCCACACUGGAACUGAGACACGGUCCAGACUCCUACGGGAGGCAGCAGUAGGGAAUCUUCCGCAAUGGGCGAAAGCCUGACGGAGCAACGCCGCGUGAGUGAUGAAGGUCUUCGGAUCGUAAAACUCUGUUAUUAGGGAAGAACAAAUGUGUAAGUAACUAUGCACGUCUUGACGGUACCUAAUCAGAAAGCCACGGCUAACUACGUG
RNAcentral lists this ribosomal RNA (497 nucleotides) under uncultured bacterium. RNAcentral's name for it is "partial 16S ribosomal RNA". It matches the Rfam family "Bacterial small subunit ribosomal RNA", at positions 28 to 507 of the family's 1533-position model. The record is from RNAcentral.